CAGUCGCCACGGUAAUACGUAGGUGGCAAGCGUUGUCCGGAAUUAUUGGGCGUAAAGGGCUCGCAGGCGGUUUCUUAAGUCUGAUGUGAAAGCCCCCGGCUCAACCGGGGAGGGUCAUUGGAAACUGGGAAACUUGAGUGCAGAAGAGGAGAGUGGAAUUCCACGUGUAGCGGUGAAAUGCGUAGAGAUGUGGAGGAACACCAGUGGCGAAGGCGACUCUCUGGUCUGUAACUGACGCUGAGGAGCGAAAGCGUGGGGAGCAAACAGGAUUAGAUACCCGCGUAGUCCCUGUCUCUUAUAC
This 301-nucleotide ribosomal RNA is filed under the name uncultured bacterium. RNAcentral describes it as "partial 16S ribosomal RNA". It matches the Rfam family "Bacterial small subunit ribosomal RNA", at positions 509 to 807 of the family's 1533-position model. The record is from RNAcentral.